Molecule: long non-coding RNA, 704 nt
Organism: Cyprinus carpio carpio
Lineage: Eukaryota; Metazoa; Chordata; Actinopteri; Cypriniformes; Cyprinidae
Source: Ensembl
UGGUUAUGACUUCUUCUGGGCAGAGUAUUUUCCCCCCUGAAUACGACAUGGAGGGCAGGUUCCACGGGAAACCUGCUACUGUGUGGUCACUGGGAGUGCUCCUGUUCGUAAUGGUGUGUGGACGCUAUCCCAAAAAUAAGGACCUGCUGAAGAUAGAUUGCUGCCAUCUGAUUCGGCGUCUCCUCCAGCAAGACCCAAGCCGGACUCUUCCACACCUUAGCAUCUUUUGGAGCUGGCAAGCCUUGGUGGCACCUAGACAGUCCUAAAAUGCCCUGUCACCUGUCAUCGUGGUCCCAGAAUUUCCUCUCAUGGCCGCCCAAGAGGUUCAUGUGAAAGCUGUUUCUGCCACAGCCAGCCUAGAGAUUCCUGUCUUGGCCUCUCCAUUCCUCAGCUCAGCAUCUGACAGACUGACAUCAGUGGCCUUAGCAUCUUGCAAAGCUGCCAAGCCUUGGUAGUCUGGUGCCUUGGCUUGAGGCAGUAUCAUAACAGCAUACUUUAACAAUGUAGUUACUGUACAGUUGGUUCAAUAGUUUAUAUAAACAUGGUUCAAUAGUUUAUAUAAUCGAUACAUAAAAAAACUAUUUUGCCAUGAUUACAAGUGAUUUUUAUAUAUCACAACAACAUAGUUUAGAAGCAUACAGUAUUUAUUUAUAUAACAUUAUGGCAUACAGUAGUUUACAGCAUAGUUUAACAAUGUACAAUUU